Molecule: long non-coding RNA, 791 nt
Filed under: Olea europaea (common olive)
Lineage: Eukaryota; Viridiplantae; Streptophyta; Magnoliopsida; Lamiales; Oleaceae
Description: long non-coding RNA (OEUR_LNC001527)
Source: RNAcentral
AACGAUCAUCUUUUCCUUUCGAGUGUGCUUUAUACGGAAAAUUCUUUUUGAUAAUCUUUUACUUCAUUAUGAAGGAAUCCCAUAUAUCUGCGUAUAUAUUCUCUGUAUCACUUCACCAUGCCAUGAAGUUUCAUGCUUGCAAUAGUUUUGCACUUAGAGGGUUUUUGUAAUUUUCAGUGAUGAACGAUCAUCUUUUCCUUUCGAGUGUGCUUUAUACGGAAAAUUCUUUUUGAUAAUCUUUUACUUCAUUACGAAGGAAUCCCAUUUAUCUGCGUAUAUAUUCUCUGUAUCACUUCACCAUGCCAUGAAGUUUCAUGCUUGCAAUAGUUUUGCACUUAGAGGGUUUUUGUAAUUUUCUGUGUUGAUAGCUAAAAUACGCAAAAGAGAGUGAAAGUGACAAUGGAAGAGCGUUCUUCAAGCACGAAAAGAGCUCGGCCUACGGAUGAGUUUAUUCAAUUGGUGUUUUCGUGGUCUCUUGAAGACAUUUUUAAUGAGGAUCUGUACAGAAACCAGGUUCGUUCUUUGUUACUCUUUUGGAUUCUGGUGGUAAGUUUUCAGCAGAGUAUUUAACAUUUUUUGCAGGUCUUAGUUUGAUCAUUGAUGAAUAACUGUAGCUUAAUAUUUCAGCAGAGUAUUUAACAUUUUUGUGCUUAAACUCGUAAUUAUUCUGAAUUUACUUUUGGAUUGCAUGGUGCUUAAAUUUGCAUGUAAUUAGAGGGGCUUUUACGCAAUUGAGAGAUUCGGUAGAGAAGUUCAUAAAUUUGGGUCAUCUCAAUGAGAUGAUCUUAGAG